Molecule: ribosomal RNA, 483 nt
Filed under: uncultured bacterium
Lineage: Bacteria
Description: partial 16S ribosomal RNA
Rfam family: Bacterial small subunit ribosomal RNA
Source: RNAcentral
GACGAACGCUGGCGGCGUGCUUAACACAUGCAAGUCGAAUGGUGAAAGCGGAGCUUGCUCCUCUGGAUCAGUGGCGAACGGGUGAGUAACACGUGGGCAACCUGCCCCUGACUUCGGGAUAACUCCUCGAAAGAGGUGCUAAUACCGGAUACGAAUCCUGCAGGCAUCUGCGGGAUUGGAAAGUUUUUCGGUCAGGGAUGGGCCCGCGGCCUAUCAGCUUGUUGGUGAGGUAGUGGCUCACCAAGGCGACGACGGGUAGCCGGCCUGAGAGGGCGACCGGCCACACUGGGACUGAGACACGGCCCAGACUCCUACGGGAGGCAGCAGUGGGAAAUAUUGCGCAAUGGGCGAAAGCCUGACGCAGCAACACCGCGUGAGGGAUGACGGCCUUCGGGUUGUAAACCUCUUUCAGCAGGGAAGAAGCGAAAGUGACGGUACCUGCAGAAGAAGCACCGGCUAACUACGUGCCAGCAGCCGCGGUAA